This 907-nucleotide ribosomal RNA is filed under the name uncultured bacterium. RNAcentral's name for it is "bacterial SSU rRNA". It matches the Rfam family "Bacterial small subunit ribosomal RNA", at positions 1 to 914 of the family's 1533-position model. The record is from RNAcentral.
UAGAGUUUGAUCCUGGCUCAGGAUGAACGCUGGCGGCGUGCCUAACACAUGCAAGUCGAGCGAAGCAUUUAAUAUGAAGUUUUCGGAUGGAAUGUUAUCUGACUGAGCGGCGGACGGGUGAGUAACGCGUGGGUAACCUGCCUUAUACAGGGGGAUAACAGUUAGAAAUGACUGCUAAUACCGCAUAAGCGCACAGUACCGCAUGGUAGUGUGUGAAAAACUCCGGUGGUAUAAGAUGGACCCGCGUCUGAUUAGCCAGUUGGCGGGGUAACGGCCCACCAAAGCGACGAUCAGUAGCCGACCUGAGAGGGUGACCGGCCACAUUGGGACUGAGACACGGCCCAAACUCCUACGGGAGGCAGCAGUGGGGAAUAUUGCACAAUGGGGGAAACCCUGAUGCAGCGACGCCGCGUGAGCGAUGAAGUAUUUCGGUAUGUAAAGCUCUAUCAGCAGGGAAGAAGAUGACGGUACCUGACUAAGAAGCCCCGGCUAACUACGUGCCAGCAGCCGCGGUAAUACGUAGGGGGCAAGCGUUAUCCGGAUUUACUGGGUGUAAAGGGAGCGUAGACGGCGAUGCAAGCCAGAUGUGAAAGCCCGGGGCUCAACCCCGGGACUGCAUUUGGAACUGUGUGGCUGGAGUGUCGGAGAGGCAGGCGGAAUUCCUAGUGUAGCGGUGAAAUGCGUAGAUAUUAGGAGGAACACCAGUGGCGAAGGCGGCCUGCUGGACGAUGACUGACGUUGAGGCUCGAAAGCGUGGGGAGCAAACAGGAUUAGAUACCCUGGUAGUCCACGCCGUAAACGAUGACUGCUAGGUGUCGGGCGGCAAAGCCGUUCGGUGCCGCAGCAAACGCAAUAAGCAGUCCACCUGGGGAGUACGUUCGCAAGAAUGAAACUCAAAGGAAUUGAC